AUGCAGUCGAGCGGAGAUGAGGUGCUUGCACCUUAUCUUAGCGGCGGACGGGUGAGUAAUGCUUAGGAAUCUGCCUAUUAGUGGGGGACAACAUUCCGAAAGGAAUGCUAAUACCGCAUACGCCCUACGGGGGAAAGCAGGGGAUCUUCGGACCUUGCGCUAAUAGAUGAGCCUAAGUCGGAUUAGCUAGUUGGUGGGGUAAAGGCCUACCAAGGCGACGAUCUGUAGCGGGUCUGAGAGGAUGAUCCGCCACACUGGGACUGAGACACGGCCCAGACUCCUACGGGAGGCAGCAGUGGGGAAUAUUGGACAAUGGGCGGAAGCCUGAUCCAGCCAUGCCGCGUGUGUGAAGAAGGCCUUUUGGUUGUAAAGCACUUUAAGCGAGGAGGAGGCUACUUAGAUUAAUACUCUAGGAUAGUGGACGUUACUCGCAGAAUAAGCACCGGCUAACUCUGUGCCAGCAGCCGCGGUAAUACAGAGGGUGCGAGCGUUAAUCGGAUUUACUGGGCGUAAAGCGUGCGUAGGCGGCUGAUUAAGUCGGAUGUGAAAUCCCUGAGCUUAACUUAGGAUUUGCAUUCGAUACUGGUCAGCUAGAGUAUGGGAGAGGAUGGUAGAAUUCCAGGUGUAGCGGUGAAAUGCGUAGAGAUCUGGAGGAAUACCGAUGGCGAAGGCAGCCAUCUGGCCUAAUACUGACGCUGAGG
RNAcentral lists this ribosomal RNA (701 nucleotides) under Acinetobacter sp. Its description in RNAcentral is "bacterial SSU rRNA". It matches the Rfam family "Bacterial small subunit ribosomal RNA", at positions 55 to 751 of the family's 1533-position model. Lineage: Bacteria; Pseudomonadati; Pseudomonadota; Gammaproteobacteria; Moraxellales; Moraxellaceae. The record is from RNAcentral.